This 77-nucleotide transfer RNA is filed under the name Acidimicrobiia bacterium. RNAcentral's name for it is "tRNA-Ala". It matches the Rfam family "tRNA". Rfam says of the family: Transfer RNA (tRNA) molecules are approximately 80 nucleotides in length. Their secondary structure includes four short double-helical elements and three loops (D, anti-codon, and T loops). The record is from RNAcentral. Lineage: Bacteria; Bacillati; Actinomycetota; Acidimicrobiia.
GGGGACGUAGCUCAGCCUGGCAGAGCACCGGCUUUGCAAGCCGGGGGUCGUGGGUUCAAAUCCCAUCGUCUCCACCA